GUGCGCAGCUUACACAUGCAAGUCGAGCGGUAACAGGGGGUGCUUGCACCCCGCUGACGAGCGGCGGACGGGUGAGUAAUGCAUAGGAAUCUGCCCAGUAGUGGGGGAUAGCCCGGGGAAACCCGGAUUAAUACCGCAUACGCCCUUUGGGGGAAAGCAGGGGAUCUUCGGACCUUGCGCUAUUGGAUGAGCCUAUGUCGGAUUAGCUAGUUGGUGGGGUAAAGGCCUACCAAGGCGACGAUCCGUAGCUGGUCUGAGAGGAUGAUCAGCCACAUCGGGACUGAGACACGGCCCGAACUCCUACGGGAGGCAGCAGUGGGGAAUAUUGGACAAUGGGGGCAACCCUGAUCCAGCCAUGCCGCGUGUGUGAAGAAGGCUUUCGGGUUGUAAAGCACUUUCAGUGAGGAGGAAAACCUUCUGGUUAAUACCCAUGAGGCUUGACGUUACUCACAGAAGAAGCACCGGCUAACUCCGUGCCAGCAGCCGCGGUAAUACGGAGGGUGCAAGCGUUAAUCGGAAUUACUGGGCGUAAAGCGCGCGUAGGUGGUUUGAUAAGCGAGAUGUGAAAGCCCCGGGCUUAACCUGGGAACGGCAUUUCGAACUGUCAGGC
Molecule: ribosomal RNA, 610 nt
Filed under: Marinobacter sp.
Lineage: Bacteria; Pseudomonadati; Pseudomonadota; Gammaproteobacteria; Pseudomonadales; Marinobacteraceae
Description: bacterial SSU rRNA
Rfam family: Bacterial small subunit ribosomal RNA
Source: RNAcentral